GGCUGGAAUGUCAGCUCUUCAGGCCUUUCAGAAGACAAGCAAAACAGCAUCAUAUGGAAGGAACAGGGACUCACAGCAGCGCCUUCAAGCUGGGAAUCUGCUCAGCACUGGAGUGACUCAGGACAUGGGAACACUGGAGGAGGUCUCAUCCAUCAGAGAGCUGAUCCUGAAGAUGACAGCUUCCAAGAUGUUGCAAAGCGAGAACUUCAAACUAUUCUUGGGCUAAAUGGAAGAGAAGUCUGGCUUACGGAGAGGAUCUGCAAGUGCAACACAGCUUGUGUCAGUGGAGCUGCAUCUGGUAUGAACAAUGUGUUAUAUUUCUUGCAUCACUCUGGAAGAUGCCAUUUUGAAGUGUUUACUGAUUGAAAGAUGUGUAGAAUACAGACAAAGAGGUUUUAAAAUGUUCUAGAUUGGAGAGGGGCCUGAGCCAAAAUCCUUGAAAGCGAAAGGCAUGCAGUUGUGCUUGAGUCUGGAGAUCACCUCAGGUUGCAUGGUCUAGAAGAACCAUUUAUUUUGCCAUGUUUUAUUCAUGUGGAACAUGCACCGAUCAUACAACUUCUACCUCUGGUAUGUCAACUUCUCUACAUGAACAAGCACAAUCUCUAGCUAAGUCUUCAGGUCCAGUUCUCAUUUGUGCCAGCAUAACAGGGCCAGGGUGUGCCCCC
This 665-nucleotide long non-coding RNA is filed under the name Apteryx rowi (Okarito brown kiwi). Its description in RNAcentral is "lncRNA (ENSARWG00000006335.1)". The record is from RNAcentral. Lineage: Eukaryota; Metazoa; Chordata; Aves; Apterygiformes; Apterygidae.